This 1494-nucleotide ribosomal RNA is filed under the name Cutibacterium acnes. Its description in RNAcentral is "bacterial SSU rRNA". It matches the Rfam family "Bacterial small subunit ribosomal RNA", at positions 82 to 1457 of the family's 1533-position model. Lineage: Bacteria; Bacillati; Actinomycetota; Actinomycetes; Propionibacteriales; Propionibacteriaceae. The record is from RNAcentral.
GUGGGGUGCUCGAGUGGCGAACGGGUGAGUAACACGUGAGUAACCUGCCCUUGACUUUGGGAUAACUUCAGGAAACUGGGGCUAAUACCGGAUAGGAGCUCCUGCUGCAUGGUGGGGGUUGGAAAGUUUCGGCGGUUGGGGAUGGACUCGCGGCUUAUCAGCUUGUUGGUGGGGUAGUGGCUUACCAAGGCUUUGACGGGUAGCCGGCCUGAGAGGGUGACCGGCCACAUUGGGACUGAGAUACGGCCCAGACUCCUACGGGAGGCAGCAGUGGGGAAUAUUGCACAAUGGGCGGAAGCCUGAUGCAGCAACGCCGCGUGCGGGAUGACGGCCUUCGGGUUGUAAACCGCUUUCGCCUGUGACGAAGCGUGAGUGACGGUAAUGGGUAAAGAAGCACCGGCUAACUACGUGCCAGCAGCCGCGGUGAUACGUAGGGUGCGAGCGUUGUCCGGAUUUAUUGGGCGUAAAGGGCUCGUAGGUGGUUGAUCGCGUCGGAAGUGUAAUCUUGGGGCUUAACCCUGAGCGUGCUUUCGAUACGGGUUGACUUGAGGAAGGUAGGGGAGAAUGGAAUUCCUGGUGGAGCGGUGGAAUGCGCAGAUAUCAGGAGGAACACCAGUGGCGAAGGCGGUUCUCUGGGCCUUUCCUGACGCUGAGGAGCGAAAGCGUGGGGAGCGAACAGGCUUAGAUACCCUGGUAGUCCACGCUGUAAACGGUGGGUACUAGGUGUGGGGUCCAUUCCACGGGUUCCGUGCCGUAGCUAACGCUUUAAGUACCCCGCCUGGGGAGUACGGCCGCAAGGCUAAAACUCAAAGGAAUUCCCUGGUAGUCCACGCUGUAAACGGUGGGUACUAGGUGUGGGGUCCAUUCCACGGGUUCCGUGCCGUAGCUAACGCUUUAAGUACCCCGCCUGGGGAGUACGGCCGCAAGGCUAAAACUCAAAGGAAUUGACGGGGCCCCGCACAAGCGGCGGAGCAUGCGGAUUAAUUCGAUGCAACGCGUAGAACCUUACCUGGGUUUGACAUGGAUCGGGAGCGCUCAGAGAUGGGUGUGCCUCUUUUGGGGUCGGUUCACAGGUGGUGCAUGGCUGUCGUCAGCUCGUGUCGUGAGAUGUUGGGUUAAGUCCCGCAACGAGCGCAACCCUUGUUCACUGUUGCCAGCACGUUAUGGUGGGGACUCAGUGGAGACCGCCGGGGUCAACUCGGAGGAAGGUGGGGAUGACGUCAAGUCAUCAUGCCCCUUAUGUCCAGGGCUUCACGCAUGCUACAAUGGCUGGUACAGAGAGUGGCGAGCCUGUGAGGGUGAGCGAAUCUCGGAAAGCCGGUCUCAGUUCGGAUUGGGGUCUGCAACUCGACCUCAUGAAGUCGGAGUCGCUAGUAAUCGCAGAUCAGCAACGCUGCGGUGAAUACGUUCCCGGGGCUUGUACACACCGCCCGUCAAGUCAUGAAAGUUGGUAACACCCGAAGCCGGUGGCCUAACCGUUGUGGGGGAGCCGUC